RNAcentral lists this long non-coding RNA (2751 nucleotides) under Marmota monax (woodchuck). Lineage: Eukaryota; Metazoa; Chordata; Mammalia; Rodentia; Sciuridae. The record is from RNAcentral.
GUCAUACUCCAAAACACUAUAUUCAUGGAGCAUAUAAACUCUUACCACUUACUGUCCAAAUCAUUAUGCUCCACCAUUUCGUAAAAUAAUGUUUAAAGAAAGAUAUGUUUUUCAGCCUGUAUGUGUGCAUACUUUCCUCCCCAGGAAUAGCACUGACAGACCAAGGAACACUGGGUUCAUCAUAUGAGCACUGGAAAAUAUACCAUCUCGUCCACAUGUGUAAUUACGUGACCCUGGAAAGACCCACUUGGGCCCUUGGUGUAUUUCAUUGGUAAAUAGGGCAAUAUCUCUUCCAUAAUGGAAGCAAGAAAAAAAAUACGAUUUUUCUUUCCUCUUCACAAUAACUUUUGAGUAUUUCUUUUCAUUUAGACUAUGAAAUUUUCAUUUUUCAACUACAAAGGGGUUUUAUCUCUUGAUAUAUUGCCCCUAAAAUGUGUUUGAAAUUAGUUUCCUACACUUUAGCUGAGUAGCAAACCCUCAAAUACUUCAAUGAAAGACCUCAAUCAUGAAAAGGCCUGGGUUUUCUCUGACUUUCCAAAUGAAGAGUCUUGACCAAAUGAACAUAGAUGACCCCUCUCUGCUUGGGUUUUCCAACUGAGAAGCAUUAUACUAGACUCUGAUGGCCUCUUCUAGUUCAAAAAUUUUGUGUUAACAUCUAUACAAAUCUUUUUUUAGAUUCUCAGACACCUGCAUUAAAAAAUAGCUGGAUAGGUUUAAACUAUGGAGGAUUAUAGGAAAGUAGAAGUCAUUUUGUAUUUGGGUCUAAAAUAUGAAUGCAGGAAUUCAAAUGCAGUAAUUGUAUCAAUAACACAUCAGAGUCAUGUAAGUCUUUAUGCAUCUUCCUUAUAUUCUAUGCAUGAGUUUGCUAUCCAUUCACCUUAAGGGAAUAAACUGUUGAAUUCUCACUGACCUCUGGUCUCUAAGGCUGUAAUUCUCAUCCCACACCUCAGGGUUUCUGCAUUUUGAAACAAGUUUUCCUGAUCAUAACAAUGCACUCUUAAGAACACUGCUCUCAGGUGAGGUUUAAUAGCACAUGAAAUAGUACUUGAGAUGAUCACAGUACUAUGUAGUUCAUUUUGGUAGUAUAGAUGGAAACAGUAAAUUGAGUGGUUUUGGUUUCAUCUGUAUCAAUUGAAACUGCAUUUUGGUUGUACAUUUUUCUAUUUUCUGAACCAUAAAACCACAUGUCUAAUUCACAAGCUGUAGUCCUGAAUUUAAUUCAUUCACCAUUUUAUCUUCAAAGAGUAAAAUAAGAGUUAAGGUUUAUAAAAAAUCUGAAAAGCUUUGCCACUGACAUUCAAAGGAAAUAAAAUAUAUUACUGGGCCCAGAGCAAGCAAGCCCUUGCACUAAAUUUAUGUAAGUUUAUUUCAUCUCUGGGUUUUAGUAAUAAUAUUUUCUGUCUUUGGCAUUUUUUGACUGAUAUUCAUUAUGUUUUAUCUUUUCUGGGCUUUAUUCCAUGUAUUUCUAAAGUACAUCAGCUCAGUUUAUUUCUUGAAGAUAUAACAAAAUAAUGUGCCUUUGAUUCUAAUGUACCUAUUACCAUUUAAAUAAAACACUCAUGAGUAAAAAGCAUUUAUCUGGUGAGAAUGCGUGGCUGAAACCUUCAUAAGUUAGAUUUACUGAAAAUAUACUUUGUUAGAAGGGAUGUUUUAUAAGAGAUUCUGGAGACCUAUAAACAGGUUUGUUUUAUGUAAUAGAAGUAUAUGAAAUAAGUUCAUGUUCUUUUGGCUAAUAGGACUUUAAAUUCAUGAUGAAAUAUAUGCUUAUUUUGUAUUGGGUUUUAAAUUUCUGGGAAAUUCAAAAUAUUAAUGAAAAGGACUCUGGUGAUGACAGCAAACUCUUUAAUUCCAGGUUCCUCUCUUUGAGGAGAUACAACAUGGUUCAUUUCUCAUCAUGAUAAAAAAAGAAAAAGAAAAAACAGAAUGUCAUGUUGAGAACUGUCUUAGUUUGCAGAAUAAAGUCAGAUCUUCCAGUAAAUUUGUUAAAAGUCAGCAAUCCUCCUUUAUUAUUCCAGCUACCAAAGACUUCAUUUUAAAAUUCAGGAGGCAAAGGAGGUUUUAUUUACCAGCCAGUUCAUGUUGCUAGCCCUUUCAGAAUAUUUUAUUAUCUUGUUUCCAUUAUUCCCAGUGGUGAGUGAUUUGUUGUUUCUUUUGACCACUCAUCAAGUAAUAAUUGAUAAUCAGAAAUCUUCAUGUAAUAUUUAGGAUAAAUUUUUAUCUUUUCCUAAUUGAACACUCAUGGAUUUUGAUAACUGAGUAAAAUUUCUCUUUACUUCUCUGCCUUAAAGUUCUUUUGGAUUGCAAUCCUACUUUUAUAAUUAGCUUUCUUUCUGCUCAUUGAUCAGUGUUUCCAUUAUAAUAUUUUUCCAUUUCUUUUUCCUGUUUCUGAGAUAACUGAAAAGUGAAUGCACUCUCUGGUUCUUAUAAAAUCUAUUUAGGUAUCAUUUGCUCUUAUGAAAACCUAAAUAUUUGUCUCUCUCCCUUUGUCUUGAUUACCAAAAUUAUUGCAGAUGCAUAAUAAAUUUUCAAAUUCUCAAUCUCCUUGAUUUCUCCUUUCCAGCUUUUAGAAAUUUGUUUAUCUAAUUUCAAGGCUUUACAUUUUUAAAUUACUCAUUUACAUUCGUCUAUUGUUUUUCCCUAUUCCAUUUUAAAUUUAUGUUUAUAUGUAAAUGCUUCUAUUGUUUCUGACACUUUCCAACUUAGUCUCAUUUUCAAGUAAUGAACAACUUUUACCUGCUUCGCUUCUAUCUU